UCCUGUUUACUACAACCUCUGGGUCUAUAGGAGUAUAAGUACGGUAAGCAUCAAGAAGCCUUUCUAAAUAGGCUGCUGGGGACUCAUCCAUUCCCUGUCUUACUUCCCCUACUUUAGACAAGUUCAUAGGGCGCUUUCCAGCAGCCCGGAGACCACCCAGAAUAGUCUGGCGAUAAACCUUUAGCCGCUCCCUACCUGCUGAU
This is a long non-coding RNA of Perognathus longimembris pacificus (Pacific pocket mouse), 203 nucleotides long. RefSeq lists it as uncharacterized. Lineage: Eukaryota; Metazoa; Chordata; Mammalia; Rodentia; Heteromyidae. The record is from RefSeq and is a predicted model, not a curated record. The transcript has 3 exons.